Molecule: non-coding RNA, 21 nt
Filed under: Arabidopsis thaliana (thale cress)
Lineage: Eukaryota; Viridiplantae; Streptophyta; Magnoliopsida; Brassicales; Brassicaceae
Source: RNAcentral
UAAAAGAGGGAUGCAACACGA